This 214-nucleotide ribosomal RNA is filed under the name uncultured bacterium. Its description in RNAcentral is "partial 16S ribosomal RNA". It matches the Rfam family "Bacterial small subunit ribosomal RNA", at positions 120 to 334 of the family's 1533-position model. The record is from RNAcentral.
CACAACCUUCCUACAAGUGGGGAAGUAGCCCAGAGAAAUUUGGAUUAAUACCCGUAACAUAUAAAGAUGGCAUCAUUUUUAUAUUAUAGCUACGGCGCUUGUUGAUGGGUGUGCGGCUGAUUAGGUAGUUGGCGGGGUAAUGGCCCACCAAGCCUGCGAUCAGUAGCUGAUGUGAGAGCAUGAUCAGCCACACGGGCACUGAGACACGGGCCCG